Eriocheir sinensis (Chinese mitten crab) is the source of this 2109-nucleotide long non-coding RNA. RefSeq lists it as uncharacterized. The record is from RefSeq and is a predicted model, not a curated record. NCBI's taxonomy places the organism in Eukaryota, Metazoa, Arthropoda, Malacostraca, Decapoda, Varunidae. The transcript has 5 exons.
AAAGAAAAUACACUUUAGCUAAGUUUCCCAUUGAGUGAGUGAGGAGCCAGGUCAGGAGGCUGGCGCGCGACUGACCUCUCUGCCAUGCCGGGCAUGUCCGGACCCAUCAGUCCUUCUUUCACCUGACGUCAUGCGCAGAAGAGACAAAUUUAGGUACCUCGCCACCCCGCCCCCCCUAGUGAACCUACCUUUCAUUCUCUUUACCUUGACAGAAGGUAUAAUAGUAAUGGACAUGGAUAGGAUUUUAGCAGGGACUCUCUUGUCAACGCAAUGUUAACUUCAGAUUAUCUCCUGAAACACUUUUCACGUUCAUGAAAACGUAAAUUGUCUCGGUUAUAGCCACAGUGGUAUCGUUACGGCAAAUAUCGUGAUUUCGGUGCCUGAAGGCAUCAAACAUUCGAUGUCGCACGAACGACUGGAAGACAUGGAUCAUCGUCCUUCGCACAAAUAGCGACAGCGUCAUGCACUCGUGAUGAGCGAGUCUUUGACAACGUGGGCCAAGUCAAUCCGCCAAUUUACAAUGAUUUUGGCUGCUUUCACUUAGUGGCUGCCCUAUCGUCCUGGCCGAUAAAUGGGUAUACCUGAGGAAACCUGGGGAGCUAAACUGUUGGAACCCGGAUGUCACAAUGGCCCUGUCCCGGGGUAAUGGGUUACUACCCGCCAUGCUCAUUGGCCAAUGUGACGGAGAUGAACACCGAGGCCACGCGCAGCUUUAGUAUAAGUUGCCGAGUUUGUUUUGGCUCAACACAAAAAAAAGUACAUAUAAUAAAAUAAUAAAAAAUGAUAACAAUGAAAAUGAGUAUAAAUGAAAUGGGAAUAACAUAAAUGAAUGCCUAAAUAAAUAUAGAAGAAAAAACCCCACACACUUGUAAGGCAGCACAGGUGGCCGCGCCGCGCCGCGCUCCGCCCCACAUGCAGGUAUUGAAAGGGCGACUCCGCUAGGACAGUUACACUGCUGCUGCGGCCUGCGACUCCACCACGACCACGCCCGCCCUGCAGCACGACCACCAGCUCUGUCUGUCUGUUUGCCUGUCACCGCAGAGAUCAUCGACACCAGCCGCGAUGAGGACUGCGCUUAUAGUAGGACUACUGACACUGCUGGCUCUGGACGUCUGUCAAUCCGAACUUAGAACAUGCACUCAGAUCGGCCCCUGUCUUGAUGGCCCCAACCCGGGGGAAUGCGUUUCUAGUGCUGAUGUGUGCGACGGUGGAAAUGAAUACAUAACAGAUGAUGACUGUGGUUUAUGCACGUGUUGCAAGACCUGUGAGCCAGACGAUUCGUGUGCCUGUAAGAAUGGGAUAUGCGUCAACCCAACUCAAGUAUCUGGACUGACAUACUUUCCUCACGAUCUAUGUCCCGAGGGAUAUCGUCAUUUUAUGGAAGGCAAUUGCGGCACUGAUGACUACAUCUGCUGUGUUCUAAGGCCCUGACCCAGGACUGACCCUGCCCUGACAUGCCCUUGACCUGACCUGCCUCACCUUCAUGCACGUACUUCCUGCACGUGCGCCGUGCACGCUGAUCCUCUGCAGAGUAUUCAAUUAUCCUUCUUCUUGGGCUUGAUGCCAGAGCACCCUUCUGCAAAGAAAAAAAAAAAAAAUGCACAAACGUAAAUAGAGAGAUUACAUAAAACUUAACAUUUCAGCAGACAUGAAUUGUGACUUUCCAAAUUCUAUGUAUGUUCAGCUCGCAAUAUGUGUGUACCAGCUGUUCAGAAUUAUGCUGCAAAUAAAAUAGAAACAAUCCUUAAAAGUUUUGAUAGAGGCAAGUACCAGCGUAGAGUCCUGCAGGAAGGUAGGAUAUCCUGUCCCCUUUAUCAUCAGAGCCUCAACUCCCAACGAUACUGCUCGAGGAUUACUUUCUAUACAUCUUUAAGGAGUUGCAAAGGCCGAUAAUUCAGUGCCAUGUUUCCAAGCUCCUCUGUCACAUGCCAAGACCUAAACUAUCAGCUCCGGUUGUAUCUACAAGCAAUACAAUUCAACGCACUAGUCUCCUUUGUCUGUCUGAUUCUUUAGUUAUUUUCUUACAUCAGAGGAAGCAGUCAAAGGCACAAACACGUAAAAAUCAGGAGAGGGAAAAAAGACCCCAAAACCAAGUCAACGCACUAGUCU